This 216-nucleotide ribosomal RNA is filed under the name uncultured Glomeromycotina. RNAcentral describes it as "partial small subunit ribosomal RNA". The stretch from base 28 to 216 matches the Rfam family "Eukaryotic small subunit ribosomal RNA", at positions 674 to 864 of the family's 1831-position model. Lineage: Eukaryota; Fungi; Glomeromycota. The record is from RNAcentral.
GGAUUAGUACGUUGGUCGUGCCUUCGGUAUGUACUGAUGUUACUGAUUCCUCCCUUCUGAAGAACCGCUAUGUCAUUCAUUUGGUGUGGUGGGGAAUCAGGACUGUUACUUUGAAAAAAUUAGAGUGUUUAAAGCAGGCUCACGCUUGAAUACAUUAGCAUGGAAUAACGGAAUAGGACGUUUGAUUCUAUUUUGUUGGUUUCUAGGAUCGACGUA